RNAcentral lists this ribosomal RNA (1124 nucleotides) under Penicillium sp. F24 MAN-2013. Its description in RNAcentral is "partial 18S ribosomal RNA". It matches the Rfam family "Eukaryotic small subunit ribosomal RNA", at positions 41 to 1186 of the family's 1831-position model. The record is from RNAcentral. Lineage: Eukaryota; Fungi; Ascomycota; Eurotiomycetes; Eurotiales; Aspergillaceae.
AGAUUAGCCMUGCAUGUCUAAGUAUAAGCAACUUGUACUGUGAAACUGCGAAUGGCUCAUUAAAUCAGUUAUCGUUUAUUUGAUAGUACCUUACUACAUGGAUACCUGUGGUAAUUCUAGAGCUAAUACAUGCUAAAAACCCCGACUUCAGGAAGGGGUGUAUUUAUUAGAUAAAAAACCAACGCCCUUCGGGGCUCCUUGGUGAAUCAUAAUAACUUAACGAAUCGCAUGGCCUUGCGCCGGCGAUGGUUCAUUCAAAUUUCUGCCCUAUCAACUUUCGAUGGUAGGAUAGUGGCCUACCAUGGUGGCAACGGGUAACGGGGAAUUAGGGUUCGAUUCCGGAGAGGGAGCCUGAGAAACGGCUACCACAUCCAAGGAAGGCAGCAGGCGCGCAAAUUACCCAAUCCCGAUACGGGGAGGUAGUGACAAUAAAUACUGAUACGGGGCUCUUUUGGGUCUCGUAAUUGGAAUGAGAACAAUUUAAAUCCCUUAACGAGGAACAAUUGGAGGGCAAGUCUGGUGCCAGCAGCCGCGGUAAUUCCAGCUCCAAUAGCGUAUAUUAAAGUUGUUGCAGUUAAAAAGCUCGUAGUUGAACCUUGGGCCUGGCUGGCCGGUCCGCCUCACCGCGAGUACUGGUCCGGCUGGGCCUUUCCUUCUGGGGAACCUCAUGGCCUUCACUGGCUGUGGGGGGAACCAGGACUUUUACUGUGAAAAAAUUAGAGUGUUCAAAGCAGGCCUUUGCUCGAAUACAUUAGCAUGGAAUAAUAGAAUAGGACGUGUGGUUCUAUUUUGUUGGUUUCUAGGACCGCCGUAAUGAUUAAUAGGGAUAGUCGGGGGCGUCAGUAUUCAGCUGUCARAGGUGAAAUUCUUGGAUUUGCUGAARACUAACUACUGCGAAAGCAUUCSCCAAGGGAUGUUUUCAUUAAUCAGGGAACGAAAGGUAGGGRAUCRAAGACRAUCARAWACCGUCKUARUCUUAACCAUAAACUAUGCCRACWAGGGAUYGGAMGGGAUUYYWWAAUGVCCCGKUCGSCACCUUWCRAGAAUYAAARUUUUUGGGUUYUGGGGGGAARUWUGGUCSCARRGBUGAAMCUUWAARAAAUUKVCGARRGSCACCMCAGGGC